RNAcentral lists this non-coding RNA (102 nucleotides) under bovine gut metagenome. RNAcentral's name for it is "SAM riboswitch (S box leader)". It matches the Rfam family "SAM riboswitch aptamer (S box leader)". From Rfam's summary of the family: The SAM riboswitch is found upstream of a number of genes which code for proteins involved in methionine or cysteine biosynthesis in Gram-positive bacteria. The SAM riboswitch acts at the level of transcription termination control. The record is from RNAcentral.
CUUAUCCAGAGCGGCUGAGGGACUGGCCCAAUGAAGCCCGGCAACCGGCGGGAAACCGCAAGGUGCUAAUUCCAGCAGUGCGGAAACGCACUGGCAGAUAAG